CGUGCCUGUCACAUGAUUUCCAUUUCAAAGAAAACAGAUUUCUCUGCAAAAGAUCAACGUUCUCUUCCUUCUCUUUCCCAUUUCUUCCCCCAAUUUUCAUAACCCUAGUUUAUAAAUUCACGAGACCAGGUGGGUAAUCAGGUGAGUCAGAUUGGUUUUGUUGGAGAAAGACAAGAAAACGCAAUGAAGAUUCAAGGGUGUACACAUUUCUAUUUUUUGUAGUUCAAUAUCGACAAAUUUAACUAUCACUACCACAAGAAUGAAACUUUUCAGUUAGAAACUUUUAUUGCCACUUCCACAUCCUCUAGAAAGGCACAUCAUUAACUAUUUUCUCUCCUAUAGCAUAUCGAAUCUUUAACUUUGUUCUGAUUCUAUUUCCUAUUGCUAGCUUGAUCUCCUUUUAGAUUUUGAAAUUUCAGUAUAUUAUUAUUCAUUUAGUAGCAGCUAAUUUGCUUGAUUACUAGCGGAAGGAAUAGACACUCAUUGAUUGACUAUGAAAUAAACUAAGGUUUGUCCCAAACCUCCCCUUAACUACCCAAGAAUGCACCUGCCUGCAGAUUGCAAGAAAUGGUAGUAACGAGCAGGCCUUCAGAGUAACUGAAAAUGUAUAUUCAUCUCAAGCCAUAUCAUUUUUUAGCAUCUUAUGGAAGAUUUCUAACCCAGCAACAACCUCAUCAUUGGGAACAAGGUCGGCUAUCAGUGCAUUCCAUGAUGCACAAGAUGUUAUACGCAACCAUAAUCAUGACAUUCUAUAGAGGCUGAGUAUGAAAGGGCCCCAGAAACGGUGAAUUCAUUAGGUUCAGUAUUGUUCUUUCUCAUCAAACAGAAUUGUGUCAAUGCCUUAUUGAAGGCCUUUUGAUGGUAAAGUCCAGAUACAAAAGCAGUCCAAGAUAUAACGUUCCUACUGACAAGCCCUCGGGACAAAUUCUCGGCCUCCUCAAUCAUUUUUGCUAUUCAAAAAUGUACCUUUUACUUUUCUAUGUAAUGAAUGAUUUAGAUGAAUGAGAAUUUUGAUGAAGCUUUUGGCAUAAAAUUUCUA
This is a long non-coding RNA of Nicotiana tabacum (common tobacco), 1039 nucleotides long. RefSeq lists it as uncharacterized. The record is from RefSeq and is a predicted model, not a curated record. Lineage: Eukaryota; Viridiplantae; Streptophyta; Magnoliopsida; Solanales; Solanaceae.